This 313-nucleotide ribosomal RNA is filed under the name uncultured bacterium. RNAcentral's name for it is "bacterial SSU rRNA". It matches the Rfam family "Bacterial small subunit ribosomal RNA", at positions 30 to 334 of the family's 1533-position model. The record is from RNAcentral.
AUUGAACGCUAGCGGGAUGCCUUACACAUGCAAGUCGAACGGCAGCAUAAGAGAGCUUGGCUCUCUUGAUGGCGAGUGGCGAACGGGUGAGUAAUGUAUCGGAACGUGCCCAGUAGCGGGGGAUAACUACGCGAAAGCGUAGCUAAUACCGCAUACGCCCUACGGGGGAAAGGAGGGGAUCCGCAAGGACCUUUCACUAUUGGAGCGGCCGAUAUCGGAUUAGCUAGUUGGUGAGGUAACGGCUCACCAAGGCGACGAUCAGUAGGGGUUCUGAGAGGAAGGUCCCCCACAUUGGAACUGAGACACGGUCCAA